RNAcentral lists this ribosomal RNA (491 nucleotides) under uncultured bacterium. RNAcentral's name for it is "bacterial SSU rRNA". It matches the Rfam family "Bacterial small subunit ribosomal RNA", at positions 16 to 518 of the family's 1533-position model. The record is from RNAcentral.
AUCCUGGCUUAGGACGAACGCUGGCGGCGUGCUUAACACAUGCAAGUUGAACGGGACGGAUAUUGAAGCGACUUUCGGAGUGGUGGAUAUAUUGUUUAGUAGCGGACGGGUGAGUAAUGCAUGAGAACCUGCCCUUCAGAGGGGGACAACAGUUGGAAACGGCUGCUAAUACCCCAUAUGCCGAGAGGUGAAAGGAGCGAUCCGCUGAAGGAGAGGCUCAUGUCCUAUCAGCUAGUUGGUGAGGUAAGUGCUCACCAAGGCGAUGACGGGUAGCCGGCCUGAGAGGGCGACCGGCCACACUGGAACUGAGAUACGGUCCAGACUCCUACGGGAGGCAGCAGUGGGGAAUAUUGGGCAAUGGGCCGGAAGCCUGACCCAGCGACGCCGCGUGAGGGAAGAAGGCCUUUGGGUCGUAAACCUCUGUUGUAUGGGAAGAAGGAAGUGACGGUACCAUACGAGGAAGUCCCGGCUAACUACGUGCCAGCCGCCGC